UGCACAUUAUACAGAUGAUGUCAUGUCUGUCUCAAGGUAUCCCUUCCACAGACACAUGCAGUUCAUCUCCUGGCUGGUAAUUUAAUUCUCAUCAGUUGGUCAAGCUAUAAAUGCAACAGUAGCAAAUGAAUGAAGGAACUCUUUUGGACAAAUCUGGCAAUGAGUCCUGUUAGAGGAAAAUUGGCCUUUUUAUUUCAGCCUUUCCACCGCGGAGCUAUUCACUUCCUCUGCCCCAGCUACUGAGCCAGGACAUAUUAAAAAUGAGCCAGUGGCACAUGUCUGCAAUCCCAACACUUGGGAGGCUGAAGCAGGAGGAUCACCGUGAGUUUGAGGCCAGCCUGAACUACACAGCAAGCCCUUGUCUCAAAAAAAAACCUCAAAUAGAUAGACAGACAGACAGACAGAUAGAUGGAUGACAUAUUCUG
RNAcentral lists this long non-coding RNA (425 nucleotides) under Heterocephalus glaber (naked mole-rat). RNAcentral describes it as "lncRNA (ENSHGLG00000049415.1)". The record is from RNAcentral. Lineage: Eukaryota; Metazoa; Chordata; Mammalia; Rodentia; Bathyergidae.